RNAcentral lists this ribosomal RNA (444 nucleotides) under Clostridioides difficile. RNAcentral describes it as "bacterial LSU rRNA". It matches the Rfam family "Bacterial large subunit ribosomal RNA", at positions 2479 to 2925 of the family's 2925-position model. The record is from RNAcentral. Lineage: Bacteria; Bacillati; Bacillota; Clostridia; Peptostreptococcales; Peptostreptococcaceae.
AGGCUUAUCUCCCCCAAGAGUCCACAUCGACGGGGAGGUUUGGCACCUCGAUGUCGGCUCAUCACAUCCUGGGGCUGUAGUAUGUCCCAAGGGUUGGAAUGCUCGCCCAUUAAAGUGGUACGCGAGCUGGGUUCAGAACGUCGUGAGACAGUUCGGUCCCUAUCCGUCGCAGGCGUAGGAAAUUUGAGAAGACCUGUCCUUAGUACGAGAGGACCGGGAUGGACGUACCUCUGGUGUACCAGUUGUUCUGCCAAGGGCAUGGCUGGGUAGCUAUGUACGGAAUGGAUAAGCGCUGAAAGCAUCUAAGCGCGAAGCCAACUUCAAGAUAAGAUUUCCCACCGCAAGGGUAAGACCCCAGAAAGACUAUCUGGUUGAUAGGUCGAAGGUGUAAGUGCAGCAAUGUAUUUAGCUUAUCGAUACUAAUAGGUCGAGGACUUGACCAAU